CUACGGGAGGCUCCAGUCGAGAGUCUUCCACAAUGGACGAAAGUCUGAUGGAGCGACGUCGCGUGCAGGAUGAAGUCCUUCGGGAUGUAAACUGCUUUUAUUUAUGAAAAAUUUAGAUGAUAUUAGUAGAUGAAUAAGGGGUGGCUAAACUCGUGCCAGAAGCCUCGGUAAUGCGAGUACCCCAAGCGUUAUCCGGAUUUAUUGGGCGUAAAGGGUGUGUAGGGGGUCAUGUUAGUCUUGUUUUAAAACUUCCGGCUUAACCGGAAAGAUGGACAGGAAACGGCAUGACUUUGAGAAUGCGAGAGGUCUGCGGAACUCAUGGUGUAGGGGUGAAAUCCGUUGAUAUCAUGGGGAACACCAAAGGCGAAGGCAGCAGACUGGCGCAUUUCUGACCCUGAAACACGAAAGCGUGGGGAGCAAAGACGGAUUAGAUACCCUCGUAGUC
RNAcentral lists this ribosomal RNA (445 nucleotides) under uncultured bacterium. RNAcentral describes it as "partial 16S ribosomal RNA". It matches the Rfam family "Bacterial small subunit ribosomal RNA", at positions 339 to 795 of the family's 1533-position model. The record is from RNAcentral.